Molecule: long non-coding RNA, 879 nt
Organism: Chenopodium quinoa (quinoa)
Lineage: Eukaryota; Viridiplantae; Streptophyta; Magnoliopsida; Caryophyllales; Amaranthaceae
Exons: 2
Source: RefSeq, a predicted model, not a curated record
UAAAACUUAUAGAUCGCCUGUUCAACUUAACCGCUCUAUAUGAUUUUCCCAAUUUUUCUCUAUGCAAUAUAGAUCGCCUCUUUCAGUUGACUGUUUUAUAAGUAUUUUUUUUUAAAAAAAAAGUAAAAAAAAAACAAAAGCCCACGAUCCACCUAACCCUAAAAAUAUGACUGACUAAAGCCGCCCCCUCCAUCUCCUUUUCUCUUUCUUUUUUUAGAUCUAAAACAUUUUAUCAUCUUUCCCCAAUCUCCAUUUUCCUCUCAUUCUCUCUCCUCUUCCCCUAUUAAAAUCCUUAUGCACCGUACUGUUGUACCACCACCGAGCCUCAAGCGUCACUGAGCCAUAAUCUAUCGAGCGUCCAACAACGAUAGAUUGUUGUUUUUGGUUUCAAUUUAAAUUUCUGAUUAUAAUAUUUGUUGUUUUUGUUAUUACUUAGAUCUGUUUUAUUUUUAGUUAUUUUUGGUUUCAAUUCAAAUUUCUGACUAUAAUUUAUUUGUUAUUUUUUGUGAUUCAAUUGCAUUCAAAUUAGUUUCAGCGAAGUGGUAAUGCUCCACUCGAAUGCCGCCGUCGAUCGAGUCGUAUAAGCCGUCGUCGUUAGGUCUGGGUCUGUUAAAAUGAGGUGUUGCUACUUCAGAAUAGAUUGUGAAGUGUAAAGAUGUAUAAAGGUUUUCUAUUUUUGAGCUUGGUGGAAGCGUGGUGGCCUGAAUGAUUGCGGUGCAAUAUAAGUCGGUGCUUUUCGAUCUAGAGCUGUUAGCAUAUUGAUAAUUAAUUAGCUAUGUUUGAAACCUUGUAACAUAAUUUUUUUUUUCUCAAGGAUUGAAAUACUUGUAUUUUAAUUUUUUUUAUAAAUAAAAUGUUAUUGUUAUGGUGUUUUAUUUA